CCUANGGGAGGCAGCAGUGGGGAAUUUUGGACAAUGGGCGCAAGCCUGAUCCAGCCAUACCGCGUGAGUGAAGAAGGCCUUCGGGUUGUAAAGCUCUUUCAGCCGGAAAGAAAUUGCUUCUAUUAAUACUAGGAGUAGAUGACGGUACCGGAAGAAGAAGCACCGGCUAACUACGUGCCAGCAGCCGCGGUAAUACGUAGGGUGCGAGCGUUAAUCGGAAUUACUGGGCGUAAAGCGUGCGCAGGCGGUUUUGUAAGACAGACGUGAAAUCCCCGGGCUUAACCUGGGAACUGCGUUUGUGACUGCAAGACUAGAGUGUAGCAGAGGGGGGUAGAAGUCCACGUGUAGCAGUGAAAUGCGUAGAUAUGUGGAGGAAUACCAAUGGCGAAGGCAGCCCCCUGGGUUAACACUGACGCUCAUGCACGAAAGCGUGGGGAGCAAACAGGAUUAGAUACCCCGNUANUC
This 465-nucleotide ribosomal RNA is filed under the name uncultured bacterium. Its description in RNAcentral is "bacterial SSU rRNA". It matches the Rfam family "Bacterial small subunit ribosomal RNA", at positions 338 to 795 of the family's 1533-position model. The record is from RNAcentral.